RNAcentral lists this ribosomal RNA (405 nucleotides) under uncultured Flavobacterium sp. RNAcentral's name for it is "bacterial SSU rRNA". It matches the Rfam family "Bacterial small subunit ribosomal RNA", at positions 389 to 793 of the family's 1533-position model. The record is from RNAcentral. Lineage: Bacteria; Pseudomonadati; Bacteroidota; Flavobacteriia; Flavobacteriales; Flavobacteriaceae.
CAGCCAUGCCGCGUGAGGAAGACGCCCUACGGGUUGUAAACUGCUUUUAUACGGGAAGAAUAAUCACGACGUGUCGUGGGAUGACGGUACCGUAAGAAUAAGGACCGGCUAACUCCGUGCCAGCAGCCGCGGUAAUACGGAGGGUCCGAGCGUUAUCCGGAAUUAUUGGGUUUAAAGGGUCCGCAGGCGGGCUGAUAAGUCAGGGGUGAAAUGGUGCGGCUCAACCGUAGCACUGCCCUUGAUACUGUUAGUCUUGAGUAAUGGUGGAGUGGCCGGAAUAUGUAGUGUACCGGUGAAAUGCAUAAAUAUUACAUAGAACACCGAUCGCGAAGGCAGGUCACUAACCAUUUACUGACGCUGAUGGACGAAAGCGUGGGGAGCGAACAGGAUUAGAUACCCUGGUAG